AGAGUUUGAUCCUGGCUCAGAUUGAACGCUGGCGGCAUGCCUUACACAUGCAAGUCGAACGGCAGCACGAGAGCUUGCUCUUGGUGGCGAGUGGCGAACGGGUGAGUAAUAUAUCGGAACGUACCCUAGAGUGGGGGAUAACGUAGCGAAAGUUACGCUAAUACCGCAUACGAUCUACGGAUGAAAGUGGGGGAUCGCAAGACCUCAUGCUCAUGGAGCGGCCGAUAUCUGAUUAGCUAGUUGGUGGGGUAAAAGCUCACCAAGGCGACGAUCAGUAGCUGGUCUGAGAGGACGACCAGCCACACUGGAACUGAGACACGGUCCAGACUCCUACGGGAGGCAGCAGUGGGGAAUUUUGGACAAUGGGCGCAAGCCUGAUCCAGCAAUGCCGCGUGAGUGAAGAAGGCCUUCGGGUUGUAAAGCUCUUUUGUCAGGGAAGAAACGGUGGACUCUAAUACAGAUCACUAAUGACGGUACCUGAAGAAUAAGCACCGGCUAACUACGUGCCAGCAGCCGCGGUAAUACGUAGGGUGCAAGCGUUAAUCGGAUUUACUGGGCGUAAAGCGUGCGCAGGCGGUUGUGCAAGACAGAUGUGAAAUCCCCGGGCUCAACCUGGGAAUUGCAUUUGUGACUGCACGGCUAGAGUGUGUCAGAGGGGGGUAGAAUUCCACGUGUAGCAGUGAAAUGCGUAGAGAUGUGGAGGAAUACCGAUGGCGAAGGCAGCCCCCUGGGAUAACACUGACGCUCAUGCACGAAAGCGUGGGGAGCAAACAGGAUUAGAUACCCUGGUAGUCCACGCCCUAAACGAUGUCUACUAGUUGUCGGGUCUUAAUUGACUUGGUAACGCAGCUAACGCGUGAAGUAGACCGCCUGGGGAGUACGGUCGCAAGAUUAAAACUCAAAGGAAUUGACGGGGACCCGCACAAGCGGUGGAUGAUGUGGAUUAAUUCGAUGCAACGCGAAAAACCUUACCUACCCUUGACAUGUCUGGAAUCCUUGAGAGAUCAGGGAGUGCUCGAAAGAGAAUCAGAACACAGGUGCUGCAUGGCUGUCGUCAGCUCGUGUCGUGAGAUGUUGGGUUAAGUCCCGCAACGAGCGCAACCCUUGUCAUUAGUUGCUACGAAAGGGCACUCUAAUGAGACUGCCGGUGACAAACCGGAGGAAGGUGGGGAUGACGUCAAGUCCUCAUGGCCCUUAUGGGUAGGGCUUCACACGUCAUACAAUGGUACAUACAGAGGGCCGCCAACCCGCGAGGGGGAGCUAAUCCCAGAAAGUGUAUCGUAGUCCGGAUUGUAGUCUGCAACUCGACUACAUGAAGUUGGAAUCGCUAGUAAUCGCGGAUCAGCAUGUCGCGGUGAAUACGUUCCCGGGUCUUGUACACACCGCCCGUCACACCAUGGGAGCGGGUUUCACCAGAAGUGGGUGGCCUAACCGCAAGGAGGGCGCUCACCACGGUGGGAUUCGUGACUGGGGUGAAGUCGUAACAAGGUA
Molecule: ribosomal RNA, 1491 nt
Filed under: metagenome
Description: bacterial SSU rRNA
Rfam family: Bacterial small subunit ribosomal RNA
Source: RNAcentral